CUUACUUGGUCAACGUCUUUUUCUACUUCUUGUCAACGUUUUCUUACUUUGUCAACGUUUUUUCUACUUUGUGUCAACGUUUUAUUCCUUUUCGUCAAUUUGUUUGCUAUUUUUCGUCAACUUUCUGCUGCUUUGUGUCAACACUUUUUUUUUUUUUUUGUCAACUAGUAAUGUUUUGUUUUGUUUUGUUUGUCUUUUCUAUUAUUUUUGUUUUCUGUCGUCAUUUAAAACUUACAAAAAAAUGCCGUAGAUUUUAAUGAUAUUCGGAGAGACAUAGUAACAUAACAUAACAUCACAUCGUAAAUACAUAGGAACAUUACAUAACAUAACAUCACAUGACUCCAAUAAGUAAUACGUAUGUCAUGUUUUAUUCCUUUAUGUAGUUUAAAAGCUACAACGAAAUACCUUAGACUUUAAUCCUUAUCUAAAUACGUCAGGAACUUAAUUGCGUAUUCCUCUCUCCUCCACCUGUUCCUCUCCUUAACUGUUCGAGCUAAUUCCAUACUUUUUGUCUUUCUCCUAUUCUUUUUUUUAACUAGAAAGAGGCAGCUCGAGGGUAAAAUAUAAAAAGGUUCAUGUUAAAAUCUGUUAAAAGUUGUUUGUGUUUCUUGAGACUUGCCAGAAAGCAGUAAAUGAUAAUAGGGAAAUUUAUAAGGAAAAGUUGCUGGAAAGUAUAAAAAAAAAGUUAAAAAGAUAUGCAAGUUUUGAAUAUGGGCAAAAUAUAAAAAGGUUCAUGUUAAAAUCUGUUAAAAGUUGUUUGUGUUUCUUGAGACUUGCCAGAAAGCAGUAAAAGAUAAAAGGGCAAUGUACAAGGAAAAGUUGCUGGAAAGUAUAAAAAAUAAAAGAAAUGCUAGUUUUGAAUACUGUCAAGAUUUGUAGGAAUGAUUGGCAAAGGAAAGUUGUCGAUGGGAAGAUUAUGUAUAACAGGAAAAGAAAAUAAUGAGCAAAAGUUGUGAAUGAGAUAAAGGAAAAAGAGUAAGUGAUAGAAGGGGAGACAAAUAGAAAAUAAAGAAAAAUAAAGGAAAGGAAAGGAAAGAAUAAUAAAUAGAAAAAGGGGUAAGAAAAUUUGUGUUUGUAUAAUAUGAAAAUAAACUGAUGAUUUAAAAGUUGUGAAGGAAUAAAAAAAUGAAGUUGGAAAGAAAAUGAAAAUACUCUAAAAAUGGAAAUGAAAGAAAAAAAAGAAUGAAACUAAACGACGAAAACUGGACACAAACACGAAGAAAAAAUUAAUAACAGAAAAAGCAAUAAAAG
Eriocheir sinensis (Chinese mitten crab) is the source of this 1251-nucleotide long non-coding RNA. RefSeq lists it as uncharacterized. The transcript has 2 exons. Lineage: Eukaryota; Metazoa; Arthropoda; Malacostraca; Decapoda; Varunidae. The record is from RefSeq and is a predicted model, not a curated record.